GUCCCUGUAGCGUAAUCGAUAGCGCGGUGGGCUUCUAAUCCAAAGGUCGUGGGUUUGAAUCCCACCUGGGAUG
Molecule: transfer RNA, 73 nt
Filed under: Trichonephila clavata
Lineage: Eukaryota; Metazoa; Arthropoda; Arachnida; Araneae; Nephilidae
Rfam family: tRNA
About the family: Transfer RNA (tRNA) molecules are approximately 80 nucleotides in length. Their secondary structure includes four short double-helical elements and three loops (D, anti-codon, and T loops). Further hydrogen bonds mediate the characteristic L-shaped molecular structure. tRNAs have two regions of fundamental functional importance: the anti-codon, which is responsible for specific mRNA codon recognition, and the 3' end, to which the tRNAs corresponding amino acid is attached (by aminoacyl-tRNA synthetases). tRNAs cope with the degeneracy of the genetic code in two manners: having more than one tRNA (with a specific anti-codon) for a particular amino acid; and 'wobble' base-pairing, i.e. permitting non-standard base-pairing at the 3rd anti-codon position.
Source: Rfam by way of RNAcentral